CUUUAUUAUGCAGCCCCAUGUUGACUACCUCCCUGGUCAAGUGUUUGAGGGCGGUGGCUGACACCUGUCACGCAUCAGUGCUAGAGACGGCGUUCCCAGGGCAACAGCUGGAUAUCGCCCUACUCUGGCAUUGUCUCGUAGAUCACCAUGCCAACAAAGACAAGAUUCCUCUCGACACUGAUUGGGUGAGUCUGGAGGCUGUCGGGCUCUCACUGGGUGUGGUUUCGAAAGAAUUCCUCUCUAAAACAGUCAACUCCUCUUCACCAAUCUCCUGGAACUGGCCAAAGCUCUCUGCACUAGCCCUGCUAACACACUCGCUUUCUACCAACUCGUAUUUCUCCUGACACUGGAAUUCUCUUAUCAAGGGCUCUCAGAUAUACUGGUCUUUCCUACACCAGCUGCAAGAGCUUGCUGUGAAGGAGAAAGGCCUUGAAGCACAUCACAGAGUGGUGCUACAUGCUACAGUGGCGGGUGUGCUGCAUCUAGCGUCCAAGAUUAGUCGAAAUGAGGUACUCAAGAUGACGCACAUCGAUGGAGUGAUUGCUAAGAGGAGGGAGACAGCUCCUAAGGCUAUGGUUGGACAUUCUUCUAGAAGGGGGGGAAUUUUGGGAAAUCCGAGGGCUCCCACCCAUCUUCAUGAAACCCUGAUUGUAACCACAGCCACUUGAGAUACAAUGUGCUAGCCCCUUGUAAAGGUACUUGAUAAUUCAUUGCAAACAUCCUAAUUUAAGAUUUCACGACAGCCAGGGUUUAUACCUUUAUGUAUAGUGAUGUAAUAAGUAAUAAGAGGUGUGGUCAGCAUUUUUCGGUGCACGUACACCUUCCCCCCCCCCCCCAAGUUUUUAUCCUAUGAAACCCUGACAGCAUGUGACGAAGGUUGAACAGAACGCCUACUACGGUUUUAAGUAUGGAGUUGCAUACUCUUCCUAAUGAAGUUGUUGCUAGUACAGUGGUUUUCCUUUGCAAGAGCACUACAACCACAAUGUAGUGAUUACCUCUGUCUGUGUGUUAUUUUAAUCCACCCAUAUACACCACCCAUAUACACCACCCACACAUCACAAAAUCACAGUAAAGUGAUGCAUCUUACAGACUAUCUAUACUGCAGACUUUCACACAACUUAAAGAGUAUGUACUCUACUUGCACAGCAUUAUCAUUCCUCCUACUCAUUUAUACUUGAUGCUCGAGGUCAACAAGCUGCUUCUGGGAAAAUCCAAUUUUAGGCAACACAAGUUCCUUUCAGAUUUAAUUCACUACAUAUGCAGCGGUAGUUAGACUCGGAUAAAAUGCAUAGAUAGUAAAAGAUAGUAAAUACAGUCCCUCAGCUCCCUAUACAUACAAGUUUUAGCUCAUAUCAUUUUGCCACAAUGAAUCAAGCAACAAGUUAGCUGAGCUACAUACCAUCGCAAUCAAUUCAGUUAGACGAAAUAUGAGGAGAGUUGACGUACUGUACAGCUGGAAAAUUUGGUAAUUAUUUGGCGAAUGCAAUGCAAUACUAUUUAUAUAUACAGUGACGUUGUGCUAACUUCAACGUAUACUCGGGGAUCACGUCUCGUAAUUGCCGGUGAAACCGCACUUCCUUGUUUGGAAGCGACUAAGUGCUUGCAAACCGCAGCCCUGUAUUGUGUAUAACACGUGUAGGGAUUCAACCACUUAAGUGACUCUGCAUAUAUGGAAAUGCGGUCAUAACCACUUACGAAACGUGAUCCCCGUAGUCAGCCACUCCUUCUCUUAUUUAUGGGCUCCUGUUAAUACUGACAAUCAUAACAGAAGCCAACCAAAAUACUGAUUAUACCCUAGAACUAGACUAUAGAAACUAAUAGAACCGGGGAGGAUUUGAUAUGGAGAAUGGUCUAUCAACACCUUGUGCUGAGACUUGCAUGCUGAACGAAAAAUUGUUACGCUAAGGAACCUGCAGAUGGCUGGCUCGCUCACUGUGGUAUAUCGGUUUGACCGAUAAUUCCAAACAUAUUUCUGUAUAAGCAGCAGGCUUAAACUAUCUUUUGUGAUCUGUCAGUGUUUGAGGUCCUUUGCAGUACAGUUUCUUCAGCCUUCACACUGCUUUCCAUACAUUCAGUGGACGGUUAGUAGCUACAUGUAUAUCAUAUCUGCUGGUAUAUGCAAGCUAGUCCCCGCCCUAGCCUCGAUUCAAGGCCGAUUAAAAUACGGCCUGGUACCUAUUGCAGGGGUGAUAGUGCGCAUGCGCUUCAAAUUACCUAGAAUAUGGGUAAUCGUACUACGAACGUAAAACCUUAGUAAAUUACACAGGAAAUUAGUCCGUUUACUAAAAAUAUGUUCCGUAAUACUUUAUCUCUAUGACUGAGUUCUGUAAAGCUGUGGCUUAUGCCGUCUAUUGCGUUGGUCUAGAAGGCUUGAACACUAGUUUUAAGACAGAAGAGGCUCUCAUCUACGUCUAGGAUGGUCCUAUAGCCGGGUUGUCUUCGCAAGUAGCAGUUUGAGGUACCAUACACUUCCCAUAGCCUGUACAGAUCCAAGGUAAGACAUCCUGACCAUACAACCGUCAUAGAGGUAGAUGAGAGCCCCUUCUGGCUUUAGACUAGUGUGAAAGCCUUCUGGAACAACGCAAUAGAGAGCUAAGCUGAUGUACAAAGAUAGAAAAUAGAUGAGAGAAAGAAAAAGGGGAUUCCCCAGAUUCUGGAGAAUAAACUAACGCAUGCGCACUAUCACCCCUGCAAUAGGUACCAGGCCGUAUUUUAAUCGGCCUGGAAUCGAGGCUAGUCCCCGCCCAUUCUCCAUUUCAAAUGCUCACCAUAAUUUGUAUGUGAGUUUCCAUAUAUACCACCAAGAGUAGAUAGUGAGAGCAUUUACUAUAAUAUUGAUGCCACCUUAUAGCGGGUAAUUUUUAGGGUCUCGCAGAUUAGCCAUUUUUGUAACCCUCAAAAAGUACCCAUUUAACAUACAAGUGCUAGAAGCCAUCAUUGCUUAGGACCACAUGUUGUUUGCAUAGCAACAUUUUGUUGUU
Long non-coding RNA from Halichondria panicea, 2981 nucleotides. RefSeq lists it as uncharacterized. The transcript has 3 exons. The record is from RefSeq and is a predicted model, not a curated record. NCBI's taxonomy places the organism in Eukaryota, Metazoa, Porifera, Demospongiae, Suberitida, Halichondriidae.